RNAcentral lists this ribosomal RNA (305 nucleotides) under uncultured bacterium. RNAcentral describes it as "bacterial SSU rRNA". It matches the Rfam family "Bacterial small subunit ribosomal RNA", at positions 335 to 654 of the family's 1533-position model. The record is from RNAcentral.
GGGCCUACGGGAGGUAGCAGUGGGGAAUAGUGGGAAAUGGGAGUAAGCCUGACCCAGCAACGCCGCGUGAAGGAAGAAGGCUUUCGGGUUGUAAACUUCUUUUCUCAGGGACGAAGAAAGUGACGGUACCUGAGGAAUAAGCCACGGCUAACUACGUGCCAGCAGCCGCGGUAAUACGUAGGUGGCAAGCGUUAUCCGGAUUUACUGGGUGUAAAGGGCGUGUAGGCGGGAAAGCAAGUCAGAUGUGAAAACCAUGGGCUCAACCUGUGGCCUGCAUUUGAAACUGUUUUUCUUGAGUACUGGAG